RNAcentral lists this ribosomal RNA (289 nucleotides) under uncultured Glomeromycotina. Its description in RNAcentral is "partial large subunit ribosomal RNA". Lineage: Eukaryota; Fungi; Glomeromycota. The record is from RNAcentral.
GGGAGACCCAUGUUGUGGCGAGCCUCAAAACCGCCACAGCAUGUGUCUCACGAUGAGGGGGAGCACUUUCGUGUCCGCUGGUUAACAUCAAUUUCGAACGUCAUAAAAAGGCUGGAGGGAUGUGGCUCCUUCGGGAGUGUUAUAGCCCUUGGUAGAUGUGAUGUCUGGGAUCGAGGAUUGCAACGGAUACCCUUCGGGGCUAGCCGCCUGAUCUCUAAUUGGUGUUGGGUUACGGACAGCAUGCUGAUCGUGAUCUAAUUACUGGUUAAAAGGUUAGAGCGUGCAUAAA